GACGAACGCUGGCGGCGUGCCUAAUACAUGCAAGUCGAACGCUGAAGGAGGAGCUUGCUUCUCUGGAUGAGUUGCGAACGGGUGAGUAACGCGUAGGUAACCUGCCUGGUAGCGGGGGAUAACUAUUGGAAACGAUAGCUAAUACCGCAUAAGAGUAGAUGUUGCAUGACAUUUGCUUAAAAGGUGCAAUUGCAUCACUACCAGAUGGACCUGCGUUGUAUUAGCUAGUUGGUGGGGUAACGGCUUACCAAGGCGACGAUACAUAGCCGACCUGAGAGGGUGAUCGGCCACAAUGGGACUGAGACACGGCCCAGACUCCUACGGGAGGCAGCAGGAGGGAAACUUCGGCAAUGGACGGAAGUCUGAACGAGCAACGCCGCGUGAGUGAAGAAGGUUGUCGGAUCGUAAAGCUCUGUUGUAAGAGAAGAACGAGAGUGAGAGUGGAAAGUGCACACUGUGACGGUAUCUUACCAGAAAGGGACGGCUAACUACGUG
Molecule: ribosomal RNA, 495 nt
Filed under: uncultured bacterium
Lineage: Bacteria
Description: partial 16S ribosomal RNA
Rfam family: Bacterial small subunit ribosomal RNA
Source: RNAcentral